This 544-nucleotide ribosomal RNA is filed under the name Sphingomonas paucimobilis. Its description in RNAcentral is "bacterial SSU rRNA". It matches the Rfam family "Bacterial small subunit ribosomal RNA", at positions 717 to 1369 of the family's 1533-position model. The record is from RNAcentral. Lineage: Bacteria; Pseudomonadati; Pseudomonadota; Alphaproteobacteria; Sphingomonadales; Sphingomonadaceae.
GAAGGCGCUCUGGCUGAUGACCUGAGGGCGAAAGCGUGGGGAGCACAGGAUUAGAUACCCUGGUAGUCCACGCCGUAAACGAUGACUAUGUGGUUGCUUGUGGAUAACGCAUUAAGUCCCCUGGGGAGUACGGCCCAAGGUAAACUCAAAGGAAUUGCGGGGGCCGCACAAGCGGUGGAGCAUGUGGUUUAAUUCGAAGCAACGCGAGAACCUUACCAGGUUUGACAUUGACACCCAGAGAUGGUUCUCUUCGGGACAACAGGUGUGCAUGGGUCGUCAGCUCGUGUCGUGAGAUGUUGGGUAAGUCCCGCAACGAGCGCAACCCUGUUAGUUCCAUCAUUUGUUGGGACUCUAAGGACGCCGGUGAAACCGGAGGAAGGUGGGGAUGACGUCAAUCUCAUGCCCUUAGUGGGCUACACACGUGCUACAAUGGACUACAGGCGCGACCGCGAGGGAGCUAAUCCAAAGUUCUCAGUUCGGAUUGUCUGCAACUCGCAUGAAGGGAAUCGCUAGUAAUCGCGGAUCAGCAUGCCGCGGUGAAUAC